GGAGAGGUGCCCGAGCGGCUGAAGGGGCCGGUUUCGAAAACCGGUGAGCGCCUUUGGGUGCUCCGUGGGUUCGAAUCCCACCCUCUCCG
This 89-nucleotide transfer RNA is filed under the name Phycisphaerae bacterium. RNAcentral's name for it is "tRNA-Ser". It matches the Rfam family "tRNA". From Rfam's summary of the family: Transfer RNA (tRNA) molecules are approximately 80 nucleotides in length. Their secondary structure includes four short double-helical elements and three loops (D, anti-codon, and T loops). Further hydrogen bonds mediate the characteristic L-shaped molecular structure. tRNAs have two regions of fundamental functional importance: the anti-codon, which is responsible for specific mRNA codon recognition, and the 3' end, to which the tRNAs corresponding amino acid is attached (by aminoacyl-tRNA synthetases). tRNAs cope with the degeneracy of the genetic code in two manners: having more than one tRNA (with a specific anti-codon) for a particular amino acid; and 'wobble' base-pairing, i.e. permitting non-standard base-pairing at the 3rd anti-codon position. Lineage: Bacteria; Pseudomonadati; Planctomycetota; Phycisphaerae. The record is from RNAcentral.